UGCAAAGUGAACAGUGUCAGAGGGUAAGC
Molecule: non-coding RNA, 29 nt
Filed under: Mus musculus (house mouse)
Lineage: Eukaryota; Metazoa; Chordata; Mammalia; Rodentia; Muridae
Source: RNAcentral